This 263-nucleotide ribosomal RNA is filed under the name uncultured bacterium. RNAcentral's name for it is "partial 16S ribosomal RNA". It matches the Rfam family "Bacterial small subunit ribosomal RNA", at positions 793 to 1055 of the family's 1533-position model. The record is from RNAcentral.
GUCCACGCCGUAAACGAUGGGCACUAGAUGUGGGGGGUGUCGACUCCCUCCGUGUCGAAGCUAACGCAUUAAGUGCCCCGCCUGGGGAGUACGGCCGCAAGGCUAAAACUCAAAGGAAUUGACGGGGGCCCGCACAAGCAGCGGAGCAUGUGGUUUAAUUCGACGCAACGCGAAGAACCUUACCUGGGCUUGACAUGUUCCUGACCCCCCUGGAAACAGGGGUUCCCUUCGGGGCAGGAUCACAGGUGGUGCAUGGCUGUCGU